RNAcentral lists this ribosomal RNA (479 nucleotides) under Lasiodiplodia margaritacea. RNAcentral's name for it is "eukaryotic LSU rRNA". The stretch from base 151 to 304 matches the Rfam family "5.8S ribosomal RNA". The record is from RNAcentral. Lineage: Eukaryota; Fungi; Ascomycota; Dothideomycetes; Botryosphaeriales; Botryosphaeriaceae.
GGAAGGAUCAUUACCGAGUUUUCGAGCUUCGGCUCGACUCUCCCACCCUUUGUGAACGUACCUCUGUUGCUUUGGCGGCUCCGGCCGCCAAAGGACCUUCAAACUCCAGUCAGUAAACGCAGACGUCUGAUAAACAAGUUAAUAAACUAAAACUUUCAACAACGGAUCUCUUGGUUCUGGCAUCGAUGAAGAACGCAGCGAAAUGCGAUAAGUAAUGUGAAUUGCAGAAUUCAGUGAAUCAUCGAAUCUUUGAACGCACAUUGCGCCCCUUGGUAUUCCGAGGGGCAUGCCUGUUCGAGCGUCAUUACAACCCUCAAGCUCUGCUUGGUAUUGGGCUCCGUCCUCACUGCGGACGCGCCUCAAAGACCUCGGCGGUGGCUGUUCAGCCCUCAAGGGUAGUAGAAUACACCUCGCUUUGGAGCGGUUGGCGUCGCCCGCCGGACGAACCUUCUGAACUUUUCUCAAGGUUGACCUCGGAU